This is a long non-coding RNA of Corticium candelabrum, 1431 nucleotides long. RefSeq lists it as uncharacterized. The transcript has 3 exons. NCBI's taxonomy places the organism in Eukaryota, Metazoa, Porifera, Homoscleromorpha, Homosclerophorida, Plakinidae. The record is from RefSeq and is a predicted model, not a curated record.
AAAAUGACCGGGUUUUGCUCAAGUGACGUGAAUCGGCGUUUGCACACAGAUACUGCAGAAAGCGUAGGCUGUCUUUUAGGGUAUGACCACACAAUCGGGUAGUGUCGCUAUCUGAAGAAGAUCUCUGAAAAUCUCGAAGGCCUUUGUAGCAUGUGAAACGACACAUUUCUCGUCCUCCUGUUUUGCCGCAUUCUCCGGGUUUUGCGAGGACUUUCGCUGUAAUCCAGUUAUUUGUGCUUACUAGAAUUCAGUUCGUGGGAGAUCCUACCGUUGUACGCCUCGCCGUAAUAGAAGAAUCGAGACCCAAAGAUGGCGGAGUCAGAUGCCAAUUGUAGUUUCUGCCUUUCGCUUUUUGACUAUUGGCCGAUGCCGUGUGACCUGUGGCAUGACCAUCUCUACUGCAGUAAUGCUAGUGGUGGGCUCUUGAUGUGCUUCUUAUAGCUGCUGGCACUGGGAACAGUCAUACAAGGGAGACUGAUGCAAACGUUGAAUGGCACACUUCUUGCACAUUAAAUGGUUGCAUUGGAGUUCAACUGGGAUGUUGACAACUUUUCACACAGGGUGCACUUGAACGAGUCAAACAGGGCUUCUGGUGCUACUGUUUCUAUUUGUUGGAUUAGGUCAGUCAAUUUGAUUGCUGACUGACCUGUGAGAACAAGCUGAUUCUUUUUUCAAUUUUUGGGUGGUCUUCCUUCUUUCUUCUGUUGCUGACAACUACAGCAGGUGUUGCAGUUUUCUGAGUAUACCAUCCACUCUCUGCAGAAAGGUACAAGAAUAGAGGCUCCUUGCCUCUUUGUAAAUCAAUGCAUCACUAGAUGGCAGCGGACACAGAAAUUGGUAGGAUACACAGAAAUUGGUAGGAUGCACAGAAACAUUAUCUGCUCCAACAUCUGUCUUGUACAAUUGGAGAAUCCUGUUUUUGUGGUCUAGACAUUUGUACUGACAUCCUCUCGAUUGAACCUGGGGGCACAUAACCUGCGAAGCUCUCGUACGGAAAGGAUGUGAUGUGCCAUAUCCAUAGACUAGACUGACAGCACUUGUAUACUGGUUAACUGUUUCUGUAUACGUCUUAAGUAGUGUAUGGAGUAAGGAAAGGGCAUGAGAGAAUGAUGAGGUAAAGAACUGCUACACGUGUACCAUUCAAAUUCAAGGAACCGGUGUUGGUACACCAUUAGCAAGUUUUUGUGGCAAAGUUUAUUUUACCAUAGAUACGAUUUUACUUAUAUCCCAAGUUGCUAAGAAUAAUAUCUCUAGGCACGUGACCUAGGCCAUCUUGUCAUAUUCUAGUGCUAUUUUAGUAUAAAAUGACCAUGUUUCCGUUCUUGUGUCACCAUAACUUAUUUGUCCGCGUUCCCUGUCUCUGACGUUGAUUAGGUCGUCGCUCGUACAAACCUGCAGUCGAUCCUUGCAAAUUAAGUUCUCCAGGAGACC